UGAUGAUUUUAAAUGAUGCUGAAUUCUGCUGUCGUUUGUUAUAGCAAAGAGAGCAGGAUGAAUGGACAGUCCCAGCAGCCCAUGGACAGUCUCAAUAACAACAAGUAAGAGGUGCUCAGCGGUGUGGGUGUCGGGGGCCUCUGGCGGAGAGCCAGCGAUGGGCCCCUGUCUGCCCUGCAGGGCGCCCAGCAGAGCUCCUGCCACUGACCAGCUUCCCGCCUGGCUGCCCGUGGCUCUGCUAGGAGAGGCUGCUCCAUGUGGGGCCACAGAUGCUCCCUCCUACUGGAGGAGCCCAUCUCAACUCCUGGCCUCUGGGAGAAGGGAGGUUCCAUCUGGAAAGCUUAGUGUCCAUUCUUCUUGCCUUAGGGUUGUAGAAAGAAUGAAAGGCUGGGAUGUUCCAGGAUCCCCGCUGCUGACUGCAGUCACCACUCCCACUAGAUGCGGUUCCAGGAAGCAGCUGGACCUGGGUGAGAACCAAGCGGGGUGACCAGGCUCUCCUUAUCCCUGUAGCCUUCUGUGCAUCAGCCUGAGUCCCUGGGGAUUGACAGGCCUCCCCUCCCUGCCCGGGCUGCCUGGUUGCUGACGGUGGUGAGUGACAGCAUUGAGUGCGCUGCGCUUCCUCUCCCAGGCUGCCUGGUUUCUGGAGGUGGUGAGUGACAGCAUUGAGUCCGCUGUGCUCCCUCUCCUUUCUCCUGCACUACGUUUUCCUUAUUUGCUGACAUUAACCAUCAAAGGACCUUGGAGAGCGGCCACCACACCAGCUUUAUCCCGCAGCACAAAGACCAGUGGUUCAAGUGUGACGAUGCCAUUAUCACCAAGGCCAGCAUCAAGGACUUGCUGGACAGCAAAGGGGAUCAAGGGGACCCCAGCUGUCAGGAACUCCCUGAGGCAUUUGCACUUCACAUUCAGAGCAACAUGGACGCCCUCUUGAGAGGUUUCAUCUGGAAGGCUCUGUGGUAGACUGGACAGCCUUCAGGGCAACAAGGUGGAUAUGGACUGGACCCCCGUGAUCCUUGACAACAGCAGGCCCCACACAAGGGCAGGGCUGUGACGGGUCGGAGAGAGGCUGUGUGAGGUCGGGUGAGGCAAUGGGUGACGUCGUGGCAGGUGGGGGUGGUGGUCAAGCUGUGGUGAUGGGCAGGGCCAGUGCCACCAGCCAGCUACACACUUGUUCCUCCUUGGGGACUGAAAAGCCAACACCUUCCGGCCAUGAAAUCAGGCCUGGCAGACCUGUGCAGAGUGCAGAGCAUGCGUGCUCUUGUGUAGGGCAGGUUGUUCUGGCUUUCCCGUCUUAGGAAUUAGAUGCAGGCAUCCUCCCUCUCUCUGCCUCUGCAGGUACUUGCUGUCCGAUCACAGUUCCUGGAAUAGAGUAGACUUAUCUGCAGCUGGUCAGAAAAAAUGAAGGCAAUGCAUUGGCAAGCCUCACCAAGUGAUACCCCCAUCCACCCCCCACCUCCCGGCCUGGUGACACUGUCUCCCAUGCAGAUGUGGCCCCUCUGCCCCGGGACCCAUGGGGUCAGGAUAGACCGCAUGGAUGGGGAGGCUCCAGGAACUGCACUGAAGAUGGAUCAGAGGUGAACUUCAUACAUGUAACACUAGCGAAGCAUAGUGGGGGUACAAUGACAUCAUGACCAAACUUGUCAGCAGAGCCGAAAGAGGAAGCAGAAGGAUGUGCGUUGUUCUUUGUAAGAUAUCUUGCGUGUAUCUAUGUAUUCAAAUUCAAACAUGGUGGUUUGUCCAUUUGUCCACUGUGAAAUUGCAAACUAGGGACAAGGAGGAGGAAAAAUACUUAAUAUAAUUUAUGAAACAACCGUGUCUCAAGCUGUGCUUGUCUGGGAGCCCUGUCUGCAUCUGAACUGAGGGCUCUUCAGUCCUGCAGAGAACAGGAUCCCCUGUUUUGGGGGUGGGCAGAUGUUUUCACAGACAGCCAGAUAGCGAACACUGUCAGCUCUGGGGGCUGUAUGGUCUCUGCCGUAAACUACAGAAGUAUGGCUGUGUCUGGUACAACUCUUAGACACAGAAAUCUGAAUUGCAUAUAAUGUUCAGUGUCAAGAAACUUCGAUUUUUAAAAACUAUUUAACAAUGUGAAAAUUUUUCUUAGCUCACAGGCACAGGGAAGCUGGUGGGGACCACGUCCAGCUCUUUAGCUGGUUAGGCUGGGGAGGGGGCAGUGACAGAACUCACUGCUCAGUGGAGAGAACACCAGAACACAGGACACGACGAUCAUACCCGGCAGAACCAUCACGUGCGGCAGAAGCCUUAGGGUACUCAUGACAUCAGUUCAUUUUCUGUUGUUUUUCUGCAUUUAAAGAAUUCAAGAGGAAGCAUGCUUUAGAACAAGAAUUAUCAGAGAAAUAGGAUGGGCCCAGAUUUUCAGAAGAGGCUGUACAUAACCAAGUUCUGCUGUUUGUGUGACAGUGCUAUGAAGAUCUCUUUUGGGGGCAAGAGCUCUCUUUUAAUCAGGAACAAAUCUAAUGAAAAAGAGAGUUGACUGAAGUUGGCCUGCAGGAUUGGAAGCCGGGUAGCGCCUUUCUUGAAGGCUUGCCACCUCGGGUCACCCCGGUUUACAGGGGUGUCCUCUGAAGAGUGUGGAAGGCAGGUGUGAGGGCCUUGGGCCUUUCUGGUAGCUGCUGUGGUUUGGCCAAACCUUGCCUCCCCAUGUUCCCCUGGGCCCCUUCCUGUCUCCUUAUGGAUUCAAGGGUGGCUGUUGCUCUGAGAACACUGGAACUGGGAAGAGAGAUGGAGCUACAUGCAUUCCUGGUGGGCAUUAUUCUAAACUUUUGUAUCCAAGUUAAUCCCCUAUUCACUGUGACAUUGCCGUUUCUAGGUUCAGGAAAUCUCUCCUUUUAGCUCCUGAUCUGGCUAUGAAAUUCAGGAAACCUGUUCUCCUGUUGCCUAGUAAUCACCUCACAUAGGUGUAAAUUGUGACAAAUGUAUCUGACCACUUAGGGACCCCUUGGGUGACCCCCCCAACACAUUCCCACCAGUGUAUUAAAAAUCCCCUGCAUGUCUGAGAUGCUGGCUGUACUUUCAGCGCUUCACAGGAAGUCAAAUGGGCUUUCCUGCUUCAGAUGCCUGAAGGGAAUGCUUUGAGGUGGGUGAUGUGUUGGAGUGUGAGUGGCCUCCCUCCAGCCCCGGGGCCCUCCAUGGGGCUGGGCUCCCUGGCAGGCACUGGAACCUUCCUGGAUGUUCCCUCUUGUGCCAGCACCGCUGCAACAUAUAGACCCGAGAGCUGUUGUAUUUUGGCUUGGUGUGUAUGCUUUUCAUCUUUUCAUUGUGUAAAAUUGCUGUUCUUUUGACAGUUUGGCUGCUUUGUUUACUGUAAGUUUGAAAAUAAAAAUUAAGAAAAAAAUUCCAGUGACUGUGCUGUGGUUGGAGACUUUAUUUACCAAGAUGUUUGCCCCUUCCUUUCCCCUCUCAUUUUCAGGAGCCUUUUAACUCUUCCUUCUCCCCUAGUGGCUUGCAGUCUUUCCUAUGUCAUAAUUAAGCUACACUUUAUUCCGAAAACUGGCUGCUUCUCCUUUUAUUGACACAAGCAGUCAAAGAGAGGGUGGCAGGAGGAAGAAGAGCAAGCGCAGACCGACCUGGAUGGGGAUGUCCCUGGUCUGAGUCAGUGGCCAGAGCUGCGGUCUCAAUUUGUGCCCAAAGACUGGUUUGGGUGUCGAGAAGGCCAUGCACUCACAUUUCUUCCCUUUCUGUGACUGGCCUGCUGCUGCUGACGCUUGUUCCUUUUUUCAUGGUCAUGUGAUGACAUCCAGGAGUCAGAACAGCCAUGGACCUUCAGACUUGGGUGUGCAUGAAAGUCACCGAGGCCAUUGACAUGCAGGAAUCCUUGCCAGACUUGGAUUGCAAGACCUGGGCUGUGGUAUAGCAAUGUGCAUUUUGUAGCAAGCUCCCUGCAUGAUUGGAGAGUAGCAAAUGGAGUAGAGAGAAAAUGUGCACAGCUAGUUAAGUGCACGGUUCUGUGACAGGUCACAAGGCCAUGGUGUAUGUCUAUGAAGUGCUCUCCUACCUGCCCCCACACAUUUCCCCUGCCCUCAGUGAGUCAGGACUCUCCUGCUUGGCCUCAUCUUCAGUUAGCCUCUGAGAGUUAAAUAGCCCUCCCCCUCCAUGUUCAGGUGCCUCUGUUACAAACCUCUGUGGCAAGUUAUUUGACUUCCUUUACAUGGAAACACUAAGGGGGCACCAGAAAAUGUCCCAGCUUCCAGACUUAAUGCUGUCUCCAUGUUAAAUGCAACCAUUUUUCGUGUGCCCUCUGGGAGGCUUCACUCUACAUGGGUCCUAAGACCUUCAAACCAGUAAAGCUCCAUUUCUCCAGGACAGAAAUAGGAAAACUUUGUGACUGAGACAUUAGGUACAAUACAGGCCGGACAGGACAAGGCUUCUGUCCCAGGAGGGCUGAUGACAUGGGCCCCUGGAGCUGAGCUGCUGGGCCAGGGAGGGCCAGUCUGUCUCCCUCACAGAUGGCCCAAUGCCAGGGGAUGCCCUUGAGGACCCUCGCUCCAGUUUGGCUGAGAAUAAAAGAAACAGACAUGGUCAGCAUCUUCACCGAGCCCACCGGGGCCCCUCAGGGAUGAGCCCCACAGGCCUGGGCCUCUGGCGUCCUCGGGGUCCCUGUGUGGCCCCCUGGUCUGUGACUGAGGACACCCCUGCAGGCUGCUGAUCCCAGAGGGAGUGCUGUGUGCAGUCUGGGGUUGGGGAGCUUUUUGGAAUGGGGGAGCCUCAGGUCACUCCUGGUUGGGCAGCCCUGAUUCAUAUCUCAGAUGGAAGAGGCCUUCACUGUCACCUAGCCCGCUUGCCACCUCACAUGGGGGCCUGUCUCCACAGUGGGUGAGAAGGCCCUGGGCACAGGGCCCCCUCUGCCCUCCAGGCUGUCCACUCCAUGCCGGGGCUGGACCCGUCCCACACCUGGCUGAAUUCUUGUUUCUGGCUCCGGGCCAGGGGAUCUUCCCAUGCCGUCUGCCCAUAUCCUCUCUGGGCCAGGAGCACUGAUUCUCUUGUUUCCCUGGCUUAUUGUCUUGCCAGCCUUGGAGGGGCACUCGAGAGUGAGGGGUCCCUGCUGCUCUCUAAGGAGGUGGGAGUGGGGGCUUCCACAGUUGGGUCCGACUGCCCCAGUGCCCUUCAGGGCCCUUCGAAGGGAAGAGGGGGACAAAGUGGAAAGUGGAGAAGGGGUAUUGGGGACGGUCCUGCCCACAGACCCCCAACCCGUCUGCCCAGCAUCCAGCAUGUCCAGCACACAUGUGCUCAGCACCUGCCCUGAGGACUGGCAGACCCACGUGACUGUCUUUGAGUAGAGGAGGAAGAGGAAGUGCAGAAGGAAGCUCCAGGUAGUGUCACUGGUGGAGGGUGUCUAGGUUCUUGGCGUCUUGAACAAAAAAUUGGACAAAAAAGGAAGGGAUUUAUUGAAAAUGAAAGUACAUUCUACAGUCUGGGCGAGGGCCCAAGGAUGGGGGCUUAAGGGCCCCAUUACAGAAUUUUUGGGAGCUUAAGUAUCCUUUACAGGAUUCCAUUGGUUACAUGGUAUAUGCUUUAUGUAAUGAAGAGGAUGAAUUAAAGUUACAAAGUCAUUUACUUGGUAUAUGCCCUAUGGAGAGGAUAUUUGCUGUCAUAGCUGAAGUGUGAAUCAGCCUUAUGUUCCCUGCCUCCAGUCCCUAUUUUCCUGCCUCAUUUUCCCCCUGAGAGAUGUGAUUCCCAUAAAUCUUUGUGGGAGGCAGAAGGACCAAUGGUCUUUCUUCUGUAACUGCUUCAUGCUGGCUUGGGGCAUAGUCCCUACCUGUUGGGGAUCACAGAACUCUCGCCCUGCUCUGUCUAGUGGAGGCAGAGUAGCUCCUUGAUGGCCGGGGUGGUGUCUUCACCUGGAACUAGCUGGAACCUUUGUUGCAUAACUAUCUGAAGCUUGAUGGUCUCUAGAUGAGAGGAAAUGAAUUUGGUUAAAAGAUUUAAUGGGAACUUCAGGGGAUGGAUAUCUAUGUUGUCAGGAAUGUUUGUUAUAGAGAUUUGCAAGAGAAAAAACAAAACCUGGUCUGUUCUAGAAUCUAUGUGUUUCCUUAAACUCUUAGCA
Molecule: non-coding RNA, 6061 nt
Organism: Chlorocebus sabaeus (green monkey)
Lineage: Eukaryota; Metazoa; Chordata; Mammalia; Primates; Cercopithecidae
Source: RefSeq, a predicted model, not a curated record